Gossypium hirsutum (cotton) is the source of this 107-nucleotide non-coding RNA. The record is from Rfam. NCBI's taxonomy places the organism in Eukaryota, Viridiplantae, Streptophyta, Magnoliopsida, Malvales, Malvaceae.
AUUCCAUGAUAAGCACACUUUUGUAAUUAUUCUUUGUACCUCUCCCAUGCCUCAUACAAAGACUUAACAUCCAUUUUUUGGAAAGUAGCGAUCUUGUUCCUCAACUU